Molecule: ribosomal RNA, 468 nt
Filed under: uncultured bacterium
Lineage: Bacteria
Description: partial 16S ribosomal RNA
Rfam family: Bacterial small subunit ribosomal RNA
Source: RNAcentral
GACGAACGCUGGCGGCGUGCUUAACACAUGCAGGUCGAACGGAAAGGCCCUGCUUUUGUGGGGUGCUCGAGUGGCGAACGGGUGAGUAACACGUGAGUAACCUGCCCUUGACUUUGGGAUAACUUCAGGAAACUGGGGCUAAUACCGGAUAGGAGCUCCUGCUGCAUGGUGGGGGUUGGAAAGUUUCGGCGGUUGGGGAUGGACUCGCGGCUUAUCAGCUUGUUGGUGGGGUAGUGGCUUACCAAGGCUUUGACGGGUAGCCGGCCUGAGAGGGUGACCGGCCACAUUGGGACUGAGAUACGGCCCAGACUCCUACGGGAGGCAGCAGUGGGGAAUAUUGCACAAUGGGCGGAAGCCUGAUGCAGCAACGCCGCGUGCGGGAUGACGGCCUUCGGGUUGUCAACCGCUUUCGCCUGUGACGAAGCGUGAGUGACGGUAAUGGGUAAAGAAGCACCGGCUAACUACGUG